UACACAUGCAAGUCGACGCGAAAGCCCCGCAAGGGGUAAGUAGAGUGGCAGACGGGUGAGUAACGCGUGGGUGACCUGCCGUCGAGUGGGGGAUAACGUCCCGAAAGGGACGCUAAUACCGCAUGACAUCUCGCCUUUGAAGAGGUGACGAUCAAAGCCGGGGUCGCAAGACCUGGCGCUUGACGAGGGGCCCGCGUCCGAUUAGCUCGUUGGUGGGGUAACGGCUCACCAAGGCGACGAUCGGUAGCCGGCCUAAGAGGGCGGACGGCCACACUGGGACUGAGACACGGCCCAGACUCCUACGGGAGGCAGCAGUGGGGAAUUGUUCGCAAUGGGCGCAAGCCUGACGACGCAACGCCGCGUGGAGGAUGAAGAUCUUCGGGUCGUAAACUCCUGUCGAGCGGGACGAACGAUCCGCGACCGAAGACGUCGCGGGAGUGACGGUACCGCUAAAGGAAGCCCCGGCUAACUCCGUGCCAGCAGCCGCGGUAAUACGGGGGGGGCGAGCGUUGUUCGGAAUUACUGGGCGUAAAGGGCUCGUAGGCGGCCAACUAAGUCAGACGUGAAAUCCCUCGGCUUAACCGAGGAACUGCGUCUGGGACUGGAUGGCUUGAGAUCGGGAGAGGGAUGCGGAAUUCCAGGUGUAGCGGUGAAAUGCGUAGAUAUCUGGAGGAACACCGGUGGCGAAAGCGGCAUCCUGGGCCGACACUGACGCUGAGGAGCGAAAGCCAGGGGAGCAAACGGGA
Molecule: ribosomal RNA, 746 nt
Filed under: uncultured bacterium
Lineage: Bacteria
Description: bacterial SSU rRNA
Rfam family: Bacterial small subunit ribosomal RNA
Source: RNAcentral